GAUGAACGCUGGCGGCGUGCCUAAUACAUGCAAGUCGAGCGAACAGACGAGGAGCUUGCUCCUCUGACGUUAGCGGCGGACGGGUGAGUAACACGUGGAUAACCUACCUAUAAGACUGGGAUAACUUCGGGAAACCGGAGCUAAUACCGGAUAAUAUAUUGAACCGCAUGGUUCAAUAGUGAAAGACGGUUUUGCUGUCACUUAUAGAUGGAUCCGCGCCGCAUUAGCUAGUUGGUAAGGUAACGGCUUACCAGGCAACGAUGCGUAGCCGACCUGAGAGGGUGAUCGGCCACACUGGAACUGAGACACGGUCCAGACUCCUACGGGAGGCAGCAGUAGGGAAUCUUCCGCAAUGGGCGAAAGCCUGACGGAGCAACGCCGCGUGAGUGAUGAAGGUCUUCGGAUCGUAAAACCCUGUUAUUAGGGAAGAACAAAUGUGUAAGUAACUAUGCACGUCUUGACGGUACCUAAUCAGAAAGCCACGGCUAACUACGUG
This 496-nucleotide ribosomal RNA is filed under the name uncultured bacterium. RNAcentral's name for it is "partial 16S ribosomal RNA". It matches the Rfam family "Bacterial small subunit ribosomal RNA", at positions 28 to 507 of the family's 1533-position model. The record is from RNAcentral.